RNAcentral lists this ribosomal RNA (318 nucleotides) under uncultured fungus. RNAcentral describes it as "LSU rRNA". It matches the Rfam family "Eukaryotic large subunit ribosomal RNA", at positions 320 to 667 of the family's 3401-position model. Lineage: Eukaryota; Fungi. The record is from RNAcentral.
AUAUUGGCGAGAGACCGAUAGCGAACAAGUACCGUGAGGGAAAGAUGAAAAGCACUUUGGAAAGAGAGUGAAACAGUACGUGAAAUUGUUGAAAGGGAAACGCUUGAAGUCAGUCGCGUCCGCCAGGGCUCAGCCGCAAGGUGUACUCUCUGGUGGACGGGCCAGCAUCACUUUCGAUCGUCGGACAAGGGAGUUGGGAAUGUGGCACCUUCGGGUGUGUUAUAGCCCUUCUUCGUAUACGGCGACCGGGAGUGAGGACCGCCUUUUUGUAGGAUGCUGGAGUAAUGGCUUUAAACGACCCGUCUUGAAACACGGACC